Molecule: ribosomal RNA, 261 nt
Filed under: uncultured bacterium
Lineage: Bacteria
Description: partial 16S ribosomal RNA
Rfam family: Bacterial small subunit ribosomal RNA
Source: RNAcentral
UACGUAGGGUGCGAGCGUUGUCCGGAAUUACUGGGCGUAAAGAGCUCGUAGGUGGUUUGUCGCGUUGUUCGUGAAAACUCACAGCUUAACUGUGGGCGUGCGGGCGAUACGGGCAGACUGGAGUACUGCAGGGGAGACUGGAAUUCCUGGUGUAGCGGUGAAAUGCGCAGAUAUCAGGAGGAACACCGAUGGCGAAGGCAGGUCUCUGGGCAUUAACUGACGCUGAGGAGCGAAAGCAUGGGAGCGAACAGGAUUAGAACC